RNAcentral lists this ribosomal RNA (253 nucleotides) under uncultured bacterium. RNAcentral's name for it is "partial 16S ribosomal RNA". It matches the Rfam family "Bacterial small subunit ribosomal RNA", at positions 524 to 776 of the family's 1533-position model. The record is from RNAcentral.
UACGAAGGUGGCUAUCGUUGCUCGGAAUCACUGGGCGUAAAGGGCGCGUAGGCGGCUUGGUCAGUCAGGCGUGAAAUUCCUGGGCUUAACCUGGGGACUGCGCUUGAUACGGCCAGGCUUGAGGCCGAGAGAGGGUGGUGGAAUUCCCAGUGUAGAGGUGAAAUUCGUAGAUAUUGGGAAGAACACCGGUGGCGAAGGCGACCACCUGGCUCGGUACUGACGCUGAGGCGCGACAGCGUGGAGAGCAAACAGG